GUUGCAAGAACAGCGUAGCGGGUGUGUAUAUUGUGUGCACGUGUGUCGCGCGGAUUCGCACGCCAGGACGAUCGAUAGCCGUCUGUUGUCGGGAUCGCGUCUUCCGGGAACGAGACGCAGAUCGUCGGGAAGCCCGGCACGUGCCGGCACCGUUCCCUCGAGCUACAAGCAUGCGAAAACCUAACCUAACCUGCAAAGGCGAACUGCGAAACGGAGACGCCUCGAGCCUUUGCUUCGAGAGGAUCCCGAAGCCUCGCCGACGGCGCGGACAAUCGCCAGCGACAGCCGUGCUAGGAUGCCGGUUGAUUGAAGAUGGCCUCGCCGACACCCUCACUGGAGUAGUGGAAUCGCGCGCAAAUUCCCUCGGGUCCCGGUCUUUAUUGAAGUCGUGUUGGCCGGACGGUCCCAUUCCGAGAAGUUCGCAGCCCAAUCGACACAAUUAUAAAUACACACCUAUAGUUUCAAAAUUAAACCUGUUUAUGGCUUUAUGGGCCAAAUACUGCCCGGUGCCAGCAACUUGAAAGAAGAAGAAGAAGAAGUAGACUCUCAUCGUGUCUCUCAUCCAGUGCGAUCCCUUUCCCAAGGCGAGUGUGGCGGAUCCGAAGGACGAGCGGACGAACGCGAAGCUGAGGCAAUUCCUGGAGACGCAUAUUUGAAAGAGAGACCCAACCCUUCAUUUUGACUAGCCAGGACGAUUUCGCGUCCGGUCGCGUUCUGGUGUAUUCUGUAGAUAACAUCCUGAAGAACAUCGCUGUAAAUAGAUGUACUGGUUGGGUGCGUUGUAGUCCAAUCCAUCAAAAAUGGAUUUAGAAGAAAUAAGUUAUGUGACUCUUUUUCUGUUAAUAUGGCAUCAAAAUAUAAUGCUACAACUUGCAAAUAAUCAGAGGAAAACCAGGCGUUGGUGGGUGAGACCUGUCAAUAGAAGGAAACGACAACAGGGUUUCCUGAAUAACCUAUUUCGGGAAAUGAGAUCAACUGAUCACGAAGAAUUUUUCACAUACACACGGCUUUACCCGGAACAAUACAGAACUUUAUUAGAGCUAGUAACACUAUAUCUUACAAAACGCAGCAUCCGAAAACCUUUGUCACCAGAUACAAGAUUAGCCGUAACCUUGACGUAUCUUGCCCAAGGCGAUAGUGUGGUAACGAAGCAUUUGGAGUAUCGUGUAGGAAGAUCAACAGUAUACAAAAUCAUACCAGAAGUGUGUCAUGUGUGUAUAAGUGUGUAUAAGUUUCUACCCAUAUAUAGGAAAUAGGCAAAAAUAAAAUAUUUUUAUUUGAAACAGAUUUUUUAAUUUAUUGAGAAUAUAUAUUUUACAUACAUUUAAUACAUAAAUUGUUUCAACAUAUCUAUACUUUAAACUUUGGUUAAAGUUGAUCACAAUUGUACUAAAGUACAUAAAAAACUAGUAUUACAGUUUAGAAAAGAAAAAUUGUAAUAUCUUGGCUUAUACGUCUAUCAAUAAAAAUAUUUCAUAAUUAUGAAGUAGAAGGAAUAUAAAGUAAGAUAAUAUGUAUUAAAAUAAACCGUUUUCCAUAAUGUACAGUAACUAUAAUACUUGAAAUAAAACUCUAUAAUUUAGA
Molecule: long non-coding RNA, 1584 nt
Organism: Temnothorax curvispinosus
Lineage: Eukaryota; Metazoa; Arthropoda; Insecta; Hymenoptera; Formicidae
Exons: 3
Source: RefSeq, a predicted model, not a curated record